GCUGGGCGCAGAGGCACACACCUGUAAUCCCAGCGGCUUGGGAGGCUGAGACAGGAGGAUCGUGAGUUCAAAGCCAGCUUCAGCAACUGUGAGGCACUAAGCAACUCAGUGAGACCCUGUCUCUA
RNAcentral lists this small RNA (125 nucleotides) under Marmota monax (woodchuck). Lineage: Eukaryota; Metazoa; Chordata; Mammalia; Rodentia; Sciuridae. The record is from RNAcentral.